RNAcentral lists this long non-coding RNA (260 nucleotides) under Olea europaea (common olive). RNAcentral's name for it is "long non-coding RNA (OEUR_LNC011945)". Lineage: Eukaryota; Viridiplantae; Streptophyta; Magnoliopsida; Lamiales; Oleaceae. The record is from RNAcentral.
GAAAUAAAGAAUACUAGAUAUGUCCCUUAAAUUAAAAUAAAUAUAAUCUUUUUGGGAGAAUUAGAUGUUAAAUAUAAUAUAGUGAUCCACAAAGGGUUCUUAAAACUGAACUAUGAUAACAAAGAUGUUAUCUCCUCUCCUAAGGUAAAUGAAAUUUGCAUUGUAUAUGCUGAACCUUCAGUAGGUCACAGCUCUAAAUUAUACCUCUAAUAAGUCCUUAACGUGGCACAAAAGGCUUGGACACAUUUCUGAGAAGGGAC